CUCAAGACACCAACUCCUGGCAUGCUGAAGCCAAACCCAAGGCCCAUGGUACAUCUAAAGGCUGUCUCAUCAUUUCUCUUUGUCUUCAAUGGCACAUGAAGAGAAAUCAAAAGGGAAUCCUUGCCAGGAGCUGCUACUAGACUUCAUAUCUGCACUAGCUCAGCUCCAGCCUCCACCUUUCAGGCAUCAGGAAUCUUAGUGGUCUCAGCAGCCAGAGAGCAAGCUAGCCUGGACAAGAGGAAGGAAUAUCAGCCUUCACAUUUACAGCCAUGCAACUGGCAGAACUCUUCUCCCAGUGCAAGCCAGGACUGUUCUGCUCCACCCUGAAGUCUGUCCAUGGAACUUUCACCACUGCUGAAGCAGAAGCAGCUUAGUGAGCCAAUGUGAAGUAGGAACUGGAGGCUAUGAAAUGCCAUGAACACCAAAACUGAGGAGAGAUCAGAGCAUUCCAGGUGUCUUCAACACACCCACUCACUGGGCACCUCAGCCACGUGGAGUCCUUGGGAAUGAGAGGUAUUUUUGAUAGCAAAAUGACAAAAUUUAAGCAAAUCCUCUCUGCACUAUUGGCCCAAAUCCUGCUUUUUAUUGACCUCUGCUCUGGUUGUCAAGGACAUUCUGAAUAU
This is a long non-coding RNA of Pogoniulus pusillus (Red-fronted tinkerbird), 623 nucleotides long. RefSeq lists it as uncharacterized. Lineage: Eukaryota; Metazoa; Chordata; Aves; Piciformes; Lybiidae. The transcript has 3 exons. The record is from RefSeq and is a predicted model, not a curated record.